UCUGAAGAAGAAAAAUAAGAAGGAGACAUGGAGAAUCGUGGGAGAAAGAAGAGGCAACUCUGUGAUGCCAGGAGCCGGAGGAAAGGGAUAAAGCGAGCGAAAACGAGAGAACGAUGCGUAUGGAUCAAUACCGAUAGUGCGCGUAGUAGACGCAAAUUGUUGGGUGUGUCUCGUAGUCUCAUCUCUAUGUUACUCGACUGCCCAAACUGUUCGAAUCCAAUAGGAAUCAUACUUCUUGUUACGACUGAGAAAUAACGAAAACGAAUGAGAAUAUCUUCCGAUAUCUUUGUUUAGACUGCCAUAGGCAAAUGGAAUGAAACGUUUUUGUUACGCAUCAAGUUCUUCCCUGUCCUUCGCUCUGCUUCUCUUCUUGGUUCAAGAAGAGGUUUCCAAAAAUAACCAAAGAGUAUUAAUAAAAUCACCGUUGGCUGUUCAAACUAGAGGCGAACAUUGGUAAACUCUUGGUGGAAAGGGAAUGGAUAUUUUGGAAUGCCGUGUGUGUACCGGUUAUGUUACGUGUGCAAAGAUAUAUGUUUGUGACCGCGCGUACGCGCCUCCCCCUCUCCUCUUCCUCUGCCGACAAUAAAUUUAAAAAAAUUUAAAAGCAAAUACAAAGAUGAGUGAUAUAGAACGUAAUCGUAUCGUAUUGUAUCGUAUCGUACGACACAGUAAAGGUGACAAUUUUGCAACUACAAUUCUUUUUUUUAAUCUGAUACAAGCUUUAUAUUUAUAUUUACGUGUACUUUUGCUGUCAGAUCGAACGGAUUAAAUAUUUUUUAAUAUAAAACUUUGAAUUAUAUAGGACCUUUGCAUAUAGGUCCAUUUCUGUAAGUUGAACGUAAUUUGUUUCCAAAAAUAACGAGGGUCUACUUCUUCUCACGAAGCGGCACACUGACGAAAAUUUUUUCACGUUUUAGAUUGUCGCUAGGCAAGGUCAAGAAUGUAAAAUACGAACGUACCUGCAUAAGGGCCACACGGUGAUGCAUUGUCUUUUCCACUUUUCCCAUCCUUGCUUCCGCUUCCUAAAACAAUCGAAAACGAAUUUUGUUUUGAGAAAAUGGACAAUGUUGUUUGUUGGAGUUUUACUGGCCGGCUUAAUGAAAAAUCACAGGCCACUAUGCAAAGCUAGCGAGAAACAAAUGCGUUUGAAACACAUUGAAUAUAAAACAAGGGAAACGUGCGUAUGCUGGACAAAACGGCUAUCGGAUGACUCGUAUGGCACCGUUUGGAAGUAAUCUCCAAGUACGGCGCGUGUCUCCCUUGGAAAUUGACCAAAUAAAAUCGAGCGGUUGCCACAUGCCAGUUUUCUGCGUAAGAAGCAACAAAUCAAAUAAUGGAGAAACUUAAAAUCGCAAAGUUCGAAUAACGAGCAAAAUUACUUUUGUUCUAUGUAGUGUCAAGGAUUAAAUUGAGAGACAUACCGAGCAAAUAUUUCAAAUUAAUUUUCUUAAAAACGAAACUUCCUGCGAAGAAAAUAUAUUUCUUUCAACUAAUUUUGUCGGACAGAAUUAUCUUUUUUUCUGCUCGUAUCGCUAUUUACGUGUAAGUCACUCUGUGCGCAUGUUAUGCGAGUGCCCCCCCCCUCCCCCCCCCCUCCUUCGACAUUGCACAAUGAAACUCUGAAUUUGAAAAAAUUUAAAUAAGCGAAUAAACGACAUGAAGAGGAUAAGAGUGAAGAAGAAAAGAGACAGCGAGCUAAUAAAGAAAUUACACCAGUUCGCGAAUCGACGAAAAACAGACUGAGAAAUUAAAAUGCAAUAAAGCGCAAGUAGCGCAAACAAACGUACGUUAGGCGAUACUUUAAUAAAAGAGAUGUACGUACAUUUCCGCUUAAGAGAAUAACAACAAAUUUAAUAUCUAGAUGUGGUUAAUUAGAGUUUCAAUAUUACAAAGAAAUAACAUUGUGAACAAAAUAUUUAUUAUAACAUGCUCGAAAUUUUUCAGCGAGAGCAUACGUGUACAUGGCCACGCAGCUUCGUAUAAUUUCUUCUCUCUGCUUUUCGAGAGUUUCACCGUUAAACCAGCGUACCAAAGUCCUUUGCUCUCUUUCCAUCGAGAGUUUAUUCGGCCACCAGUAACAACCACCAGUAGAUAUGUUCCCGACUCUAUUUCUGGCAGGAUAAUAAUAACUUCUCCAUAUCUUGUUUCAGCGACUAGGUUUGGAUGACAGAACGCGAGAUCUUUGCGAACAGUUUUAACUUUAUAAAAGACGCGACAAUUGGAAAUUGUUGGAAAGCGAUCAUGUUCUUAUUCUUUGCUGAAAGUCCGGCUUUGUUCCAAAACUGGCUUUUCGAUUUGUUUCACGAGGAGACAUCGUAGAAGUAAUUUUUUUUUUUUUUUAAAAUUUACUUCUACAAUUAUUGUAUUGAAUUAGAAUUGUCACGAAAAAUGUUGUGGCAAUAAUAAAGUUGGGAAUUGAUAAAGAACAAUUACGAACAAACGAGCGAAAGAGUAAAAAAGGAGAAAAGUGAGAGAAACAAAUGCGUUACCUGCAAUCGAGGUCACGAUUGUGUCUAGGGUUCUUAUUCAAUGCCAUGGUUAAGUGCCGUUACUAUUAUCUAGCACGUGACAAUCUAGACGAUAAUAGGCAACUUUGGGUUAUCGAAUGAAAUUGAAGAAACGUGGUCUAUCGAAACGAAGUAAGUUUAUGAAAAUAAAUGCAGACACUAUACGCACGUACUUUUGUUAGCUGCAAUUUCAUGCUCGUUGUGCGAGCCAAAGAUAGCGAGAGUGAACGCGUUUGGCAUUUGUAUCACAAAUGAUUAUUUACGUUCGAAUCAAUCGAUGGUUUUUUUAGCAAGGUUUCUUUUUUCACGAUCUACAGACGUAGGUCACUGCUAAUCGUAUUGAUAAUCAAACUCGCCGAAUUACAGGAUAAAUUAUUUAAGUUUCAUUCAAAUAACUUUAUCUUAUCUCGUUGCAC
This is a long non-coding RNA of Frieseomelitta varia, 2923 nucleotides long. RefSeq lists it as uncharacterized. Lineage: Eukaryota; Metazoa; Arthropoda; Insecta; Hymenoptera; Apidae. The transcript is spliced from 3 exons. The record is from RefSeq and is a predicted model, not a curated record.